AGCUUGCUCUCUUGAUUAGUGGCGCACGGGUGAGUAAUAUAUAGAUAACGUGCCUCUUAGUCUGGGAUAGCCAUUGGAAACGAUUGAUUAAUACUAGAUUACUCCUUUCUCUUUAUAAUGAGGAAGUUCGGGAAAGUUUUUCGCUAAGAGAUCGGUCUAUAUCCCAUCAGUCUUGUUGGUAGUGUAAGAGACUACCAAGGCUAUGACGGGUAGCGGGUUUGAGAGGAUGAUCCGCCACACUGGUACUGAGACACGGACCAGACUCC
Molecule: ribosomal RNA, 266 nt
Filed under: uncultured bacterium
Lineage: Bacteria
Description: partial 16S ribosomal RNA
Rfam family: Bacterial small subunit ribosomal RNA
Source: RNAcentral